CGACCAUCUGGAGCGACCGAGAGACCCGGCUCGUCGACGUCGCAGCAACCCCAGAGGAGGGUGCUAACGCCGGGAUCGAUGGGAG
Molecule: non-coding RNA, 85 nt
Filed under: Gordonia polyisoprenivorans
Lineage: Bacteria; Bacillati; Actinomycetota; Actinomycetes; Mycobacteriales; Gordoniaceae
Also listed under: 1 other name
Description: SAM-I sequence
Rfam family: SAM riboswitch aptamer (S box leader)
About the family: The SAM riboswitch is found upstream of a number of genes which code for proteins involved in methionine or cysteine biosynthesis in Gram-positive bacteria. The SAM riboswitch acts at the level of transcription termination control.
Source: RNAcentral